UGGAAGCAGCAAUGUCUGGCCAACACCAUGAGACAUCAGCCACUGGUUGCAGUGGACUAAGACUAGUGGCUCAACUCAGGGAUCAUCAUUAUCAUCAUCACCUGUUUGAUCCGAGAGCAUUAUUACUCCAUUAAAAUUGGUUACUGUGUUCAUUUCAUAUUACAUCAUUUUAUAUCAUUUCAAGUACAUUAUAUCUAAUUCUUUUGAAAUAAAGAAAAGGUGAUAGUUACUCGUUAAUUAUCUUUACGAUUUAUUGGUACCAUACUUUCUCUUUACAAAAAAAACGCACUUAAAUAGUUGAUUAUGCGCAUCUACAUUUAUUGUGUUUCUUAUUUUUAAUGAAAGUAAGAGAUUCGAACUUAGAAUAUCUUCGAACAUUUGAUUAGAUGUAAUUUCCAUUAUCCUUUUAAAGCUAGUUAUAGGCUAUAUGAGCACUUCAAUUGACAUUUGGGAAAAUGUCAUUUUCUAGAAAGUAAACUGAGAAUUUUUUUUCCUCCCUUUGUCAAAAUCCUUAUAAUUGAACAUUUUUACAUGCGAAAAAAUCAUGUAGUUUUAUGGGCUUUGAUUUUCACGUACUUUGUUUAACUUCUUACACAUCAUUUUAAUUUAUGAUCAUCAAAUUAAAUAAUUUUAACAAAAAUAAUAAACAAAAUUAAACAAGUGAGAAGAUGAAACGGUGCGUGUUUAUCGUUGCAUUCAAAACAUUUCUUAGUUAUCAUUGCUCAUGAUUCUUCAAUUGAAUUUGGGACUGGUUUUCAGUUUUCUACAUCAUUUUAUAUCAUUUCAAGUACAUUACAUCUAAUUCUUUGGAAAUUAAAAAAGGUGAUAGUUACUUGUUAAUUAUCUUUAGGAUUUAUUGCUACCAUACUUUCUUUUUACCAAAAAAAGGCACUCAAAUAAUUGAUUAUGCGCGUCUACAUUUACUGUGUUUCUUAUUUUUAAUGAAAGCGAGAGAUUCGAACUCAGAAUAUCAUCCAACAUUUUAUCCUAGUAAAGCUAGUUAUUGGCUAUGAGCACUUCAAUUGACAUUUGGGAAAAUGUCAUUUUCCAGAAAGUAAACUUAGAUUUUUUUUUUU
RNAcentral lists this long non-coding RNA (1076 nucleotides) under Malus domestica (apple). RNAcentral describes it as "long non-coding RNA (MDOM_LNC009568)". The record is from RNAcentral. Lineage: Eukaryota; Viridiplantae; Streptophyta; Magnoliopsida; Rosales; Rosaceae.